CGGAGCCACGAGUGGUAACCAUAUUUAUUGGGCCUAAAGCGUUCGUAGCUGAUUUAGCAAAUCUUUUGUGAAAUUGUUGGGCUUAACUUAACAAUGUGCAAAAGAGACUACUAAGUUCGAGACCGGGAAGAGGUAGACGGUACUCGGUAGGAAGGGGUAAAAUCCUUUGAUCUAUUGAUGACCAACUGUGGCGAAGGCGGUCUACCAGAACACGUCCGACGGUGAGGGAUGAAAGCUGGGGGAGCAAAACGGAUUAGAGACCCGAGUAGUCC
This 272-nucleotide ribosomal RNA is filed under the name uncultured archaeon. RNAcentral's name for it is "partial 16S ribosomal RNA". It matches the Rfam family "Archaeal small subunit ribosomal RNA", at positions 477 to 747 of the family's 1478-position model. The record is from RNAcentral.